This 446-nucleotide ribosomal RNA is filed under the name uncultured bacterium. RNAcentral's name for it is "bacterial SSU rRNA". It matches the Rfam family "Bacterial small subunit ribosomal RNA", at positions 337 to 797 of the family's 1533-position model. The record is from RNAcentral.
GCCUACGGGGGGCAGCAAUUAGGAAUCUUGCGCAAUGGGCGAAAGCCUGACGCAGCGACGCCGCGUGACCGAUGAAGUCCUUCGGGAUGUAAAGGUCUUUUGCCAGGGAAGAAGAACGUGACGGUACCUGGCGAAUAAGCCCCGGCUAACUACGUGCCAGCAGCCGCGGUAAGACGUAGGGGGCGAGCGUUGUCCGAAGUCACUGGGCGUAAAGCGCGCGUAGGCGGCCUCUUAAGUUGGGUGUGAAAUCCUGCGGCCCAACCGCAGAACUGCAUCCAAAACUGGGAGGCUUGAGGACGGAAGAGGGCAGUGGAAUUCCUGGUGUAGCGGUGAAAUGCGUAGAUAUCAGGAGGAACACCCGUGGCGAAGGCGGCUGCCUGGUCCGUAUCUGACGCUGAGGUGCGAAAGCCAGGGGAGCGAACGGGAUUAGAUACCCUAGUAGUCCU